GUGGAAGGCAGGGGCAUAGAGGAAGAGUUCUAUGGACCCGUGGUGCUUGGGCACCAGGAAUAUUUCUCGGCCCCACCUUCUGUCCCGGGCGCUCCUCCCCCUGCUCAUCUCCUGGGUGAUUUAAAAUGGCCCGGGGCCCCACCCACCACCGGCAGCACAGCAGAGCUGAGCGGCUUCCUGCCUGCUUGCUCCACGUAGCUGCCAGCCUCUCCCUGCGGCCCCUGGGCGGGGUGCGUCUGUGUUUACACGUGCUGCUCUCACCCCAACCGCCCGUGGCCAAUAGGAAGCCAGCCUGGGGGUAGCAGUGCACAGAGGCCACCCCGGCCCACCCUGCCUAGGAGCCCCAGUUGUGUUUGAAGUGGGUAGCAGCCACCAAAGGUCUGCGGGGCAGUACGGCAUGGCAUCAAUAUCAGCAUGCAAUUCUCAAUGAAACCCUUGGAUAAUGGGUGACGGCAGACCGUGGUUGCAGAAUUGGAGGAAGUUGCAUACCUGGAUCUUUGAACUCUCUGUCAUUUGCGAGAUAUUGUAAGCAGAGGAAGAUCAAAGUGGACACAAAGAAUUCAAACUAGGCAGUGGUAAGAAGGAACUGGAGAGGCAUUGGUCCGUGCCACCCUCUAUGCCCUCAGUUCGAAGCAUGAGGAGA
Molecule: long non-coding RNA, 643 nt
Organism: Dermochelys coriacea (leatherback sea turtle)
Lineage: Eukaryota; Metazoa; Chordata; Testudines; Dermochelyidae
Exons: 3
Source: RefSeq, a predicted model, not a curated record